UACGUAGGUGGCAAGCGUUGUCCGGAUUUAUUGGGCGUAAAGCGCGCGCAGGUGGUUCGUUGCGUCCGAGGUGAAAUCUCCCGGCUCAACUGGGAGGGGUCUUCGGAUACGGGCGGACUUGAGGAGAGCAGAGGUAGGCGGAAUGCUGGGUGUAGUGGUGAAAUGCGUAGAUAUCCAGCGGAACACCAGUGGCGAAGGCGGCCUACUGGGCUCCACCUGACACUGAGGCGCGAAAGCUAGGGGAGCAAACGGG
This 253-nucleotide ribosomal RNA is filed under the name uncultured bacterium. RNAcentral describes it as "partial 16S ribosomal RNA". It matches the Rfam family "Bacterial small subunit ribosomal RNA", at positions 524 to 776 of the family's 1533-position model. The record is from RNAcentral.